UACGGAGGGUGCGAGCGUUAAUCGGAAUUACUGGGCGUAAAGGGUGCGUAGGUGGUUUGGUAAGUUAUCUGUGAAAGCCCUGGGCUUAACCUGGGAAGGCCAGAUAAGACUGUCAGACUCGAGUAUGGGAGAGGGUAGUGGAAUUUCCGGUGUAGCGGUGAAAUGCGUAGAGAUCGGAAGGAACACCAGUGGCGAAGGCGGCUACCUGGCCUAAUACUGACACUGAGGCACGAAGGCUAGGGUAGCAAACGGG
This 253-nucleotide unclassified non-coding RNA is filed under the name uncultured Legionellaceae bacterium. RNAcentral's name for it is "contains 16S-23S intergenic spacer region". It matches the Rfam family "Bacterial small subunit ribosomal RNA", at positions 524 to 776 of the family's 1533-position model. Lineage: Bacteria; Pseudomonadati; Pseudomonadota; Gammaproteobacteria; Legionellales; Legionellaceae. The record is from RNAcentral.